AUCCCAGGAAGCUGGGAUCAUGACUUGAGUUGAAGGCAGAUGCUUAACCAAUGAGCCACCUAAGGCACCCCUACAGUUUGAUCUUGAGAAAACUAC
This is a long non-coding RNA of Mustela erminea (ermine), 96 nucleotides long. RefSeq lists it as uncharacterized. The record is from RefSeq and is a predicted model, not a curated record. The transcript is spliced from 3 exons. Lineage: Eukaryota; Metazoa; Chordata; Mammalia; Carnivora; Mustelidae.